Molecule: ribosomal RNA, 324 nt
Filed under: uncultured eukaryote
Lineage: Eukaryota
Description: partial 18S ribosomal RNA
Rfam family: Eukaryotic small subunit ribosomal RNA
Source: RNAcentral
CCCUUAGAUGUUCUGGGCUGCAUGCGCGCUACACUGAAGCUAUCAACACGUUUUCCCUCCCUGAGAAGGGCGGGUAACCUUUUGAAUCAGCUUCGUGGUAGGGAUCGGGGCUUGCAAUUGUUCCCCGUGAACCAGGAAUUCCUAGUAGACGCGAGUCAUAAGCUCGCAUCGAUUAAGUCCCUGCCCUUUGUACACACCGCCCGUCGCUACUACCGAUUGAACGUUUUAGUGAGGCAUUUGGACCGACGCAUCUCAGUUUAACCGCUGGCUUGUGUUGGAAAGACUUCCAAACUUGAGCGUUUAGAGGAAGUAAAAGUCGUAACA